GAUGAACGCUGGCGGCGUGCCUAAUACAUGCAAGUCGAGCGAACAGACGAGGAGCUUGCUCCUCUGACGUUAGCGGCGGACGGGUGAGUAACACGUGGAUAACCUACCUAUAAGACUGGGAUAACUUCGGGAAACCGGAGCUAAUACCGGAUAAUAUAUUGAACCGCAUGGUUCAAUAGUGAAAGACGGUUUUGCUGUCACUUAUAGAUGGAUCCGCGCCGCAUUAGCUAGUUGGUAAGGUAACGGCUUACCAAGGCGACGAUGCGUAGCCGACCUGAGAGGGUGAUCGGCCACACUGGAACUGAGACACGGUCCAGACUCCUACGGGAGGCAGCAGUAGGGAAUCUGCCGCAAUGGGCGAGAGCCUGACGGAGCAACGCCGCGUGAGUGAUGAAGGUCUUCGGAUCGUAAAACUCUGUUAUUAGGGAAGAACAAAUGUGUAAGUAACUAUGCACGUCUUGACGGUACCUAAUCAGAAAGCCACGGCUAACUACGUG
RNAcentral lists this ribosomal RNA (497 nucleotides) under uncultured bacterium. RNAcentral's name for it is "partial 16S ribosomal RNA". It matches the Rfam family "Bacterial small subunit ribosomal RNA", at positions 28 to 507 of the family's 1533-position model. The record is from RNAcentral.